Erinaceus europaeus (western European hedgehog) is the source of this 129-nucleotide non-coding RNA. Lineage: Eukaryota; Metazoa; Chordata; Mammalia; Eulipotyphla; Erinaceidae. The record is from Rfam.
GCAGUGGUUCUUUCAAGUAGCAGCUGCUUCCACCAGUUGCUGUGGUCAAAAAGGAACACAAAGUGACAUUUUCCCUUGAUGGUCUCCAUUCUAUUUAAAUGAUCUGCAAUAAUUCAAGAAAAUUCCCAA